AAAUUGAAGAGUUUGAUCAUGGCUCAGAUUGAACGCCGGCGGCAGGCCUAACACAUGCAAGUCGAACGGUAACAGAAAGCAGCUUGCUGCUUUGCUGACGAGUGGCGGACGGGUGAGUAAUGUCUGGGAAACUGCCCGAUGGAGGGGGAUAACUACUGGAAACGGUAGCUAAUACCGCAUAACGUCGCAAGACCAAAGAGGGGGACCUUCGGGCCUCUUGCCAUCGGAUGUGCCCAGAUGGGAUUAGCUAGUAGGUGGGGUAACGGCUCACCUAGGCGACGAUCCCUAGCUGGUCUGAGAGGAUGACCAGCCACACUGGAACUGAGACACGGUCCAGACUCCUACGGGAGGCAGCAGUGGGGAAUAUUGCACAAUGGGCGCAAGCCUGAUGCAGCCAUGCCGCGUGUAUGAAGAAGGCCUUCGGGUUGUAAAGUACUUUCAGCGGGGAGGAAGGGAGUAAAGUUAAUACCUUUGCUCAUUGACGUUACCCGCAGAAGAAGCACCGGCUAACUCCGUGCCAGCAGCCGCGGUAAUACGGAGGGUGCAAGCGUUAAUCGGAAUUACUGGGCGUAAAGCGCACGCAGGCGGUUUGUUAAGUCAGAUGUGAAAUCCCCGGGCUCAACCUGGGAACUGCAUCUGAUACUGGCAAGCUUGAGUCUCGUAGAGGGGGGUAGAAUUCCAGGUGUAGCGGUGAAAUGCGUAGAGAUCUGGAGGAAUACCGGUGGCGAAGGCGGCCCCCUGGACGAAGACUGACGCUCAGGUGCGAAAGCGUGGGGAGCAAACAGGAUUAGAUACCCUGGUAGUCCACGCCGUAAACGAUGUCGACUUGGAGGUUGUGCCCUUGAGGCGUGGCUUCCGGAGCUAACGCGUUAAGUCGACCGCCUGGGGAGUACGGCCGCAAGGUUAAAACUCAAAUGAAUUGACGGGGGCCCGCACAAGCGGUGGAGCAUGUGGUUUAAUUCGAUGCAACGCGAAGAACCUUACCUGGUCUUGACAUCCACGGAAGUUUUCAGAGAUGAGAAUGUGCCUUCGGGAACCGUGAGACAGGUGCUGCAUGGCUGUCGUCAGCUCGUGUUGUGAAAUGUUGGGUUAAGUCCCGCAACGAGCGCAACCCUUAUCCUUUGUUGCCAGCGGUCCGGCCGGGAACUCAAAGGAGACUGCCAGUGAUAAACUGGAGGAAGGUGGGGAUGACGUCAAGUCAUCAUGGCCCUUACGACCAGGGCUACACACGUGCUACAAUGGCGCAUACAAAGAGAAGCGACCUCGCGAGAGCAAGCGGACCUCAUAAAGUGCGUCGUAGUCCGGAUUGGAGUCUGCAACUCGACUCCAUGAAGUCGGAAUCGCUAGUAAUCGUGGAUCAGAAUGCCACGGUGAAUACGUUCCCGGGCCUUGUACACACCGCCCGUCACACCAUGGGAGUGGGUUGCAAAAGAAGUAGGUAGCUUAACCUUCGGGAGGGCGCUUACCACUUUGUGAUUCAUGACUGGGGUGAAGUCGUAACAAGGUAACCGUAGGGGAACCUGCGGUUGGAUCACCUCCUUA
RNAcentral lists this ribosomal RNA (1542 nucleotides) under Escherichia coli. Its description in RNAcentral is "bacterial SSU rRNA". It matches the Rfam family "Bacterial small subunit ribosomal RNA". Lineage: Bacteria; Pseudomonadati; Pseudomonadota; Gammaproteobacteria; Enterobacterales; Enterobacteriaceae. The record is from RNAcentral.